GAUGAACGCUGGCGGCGUGCCUAAUACAUGCAAGUCGAGCGAACAGACGAGGAGCUUGCUCCUCUGACGUUAGCGGCGGACGGGUGAGUAACACGUGGAUAACCUACCUAUAAGACUGGGAUAACUUCGGGAAACCGGAGCUAAUACCGGAUAAUAUAUUGAACCGCAUGGUUCAAUAGUGAAAGACGGUUUUGCUGUCACUUAUAGAUGGAUCCGCGCCGCAUUAGCUAGUUGGUAAGGUAACGGCUUACCAUGGCAACGAUGCGUAGCCGACCUGAGAGGGUGAUCGGCCACACUGGAACUGAGACACGGUCCAGACUCCUACGGGAGGCAGCAGUAGGGAAUCUUCCGCAAUGGGCGAAAGCCUGACGGAGCAACGCCGCGUGAGUGAUGAAGGUCUUCGGAUCGUAAAACUCUGUUAUUAGGGAAGAACAAAUGUGUAAGUAACUAUGCACGUCUUGACGGUACCUAAACAGAAAGCCACGGCUAGCUACGUG
RNAcentral lists this ribosomal RNA (497 nucleotides) under uncultured bacterium. RNAcentral describes it as "partial 16S ribosomal RNA". It matches the Rfam family "Bacterial small subunit ribosomal RNA", at positions 28 to 507 of the family's 1533-position model. The record is from RNAcentral.